Molecule: long non-coding RNA, 936 nt
Organism: Caretta caretta (loggerhead turtle)
Lineage: Eukaryota; Metazoa; Chordata; Testudines; Cheloniidae
Source: RefSeq, a predicted model, not a curated record
AGUUUAAUGGGCUAUGCGGGAUUCUUUACUUUAAGUGGGUGAGGCUGGAAGGAAAAUUAAAAUGUAUAAUCUUUGAUCCACCCACUUCUAAUUAGUUCUUAGGAUUUUACAUAAUAGAAACUAUAAAGGAAGUGGAGAAGGGGGAAAUGAAAUCAUUACAAACCAAGUGAUCCCAGGCAGCCAAAUUCAUUUUUGAUUCUGCUUUCAAAAGACAAACUGUGGUUAUAAAGACAAAGUUAUAACUUGUUGGAGUGGGGAUUUUUGCUGAAGAUUUACCAGUUGUACAUACCUCUGUUGUCUCAAGCUACAUAACAAUUUGCAGUCGAUAAGAUCAUGCAUCUUUGGAUAUGUCCAUGCUACCUGCCGAAUCGGCGGGCAGCGAUCGAUCCAGCAGGGGUCAAUUUAUCGCGUCUAGUCUAGAUGUGAUAAAUCAACUGGCGGCACCGGCAGAGUCAACGGGGGAGCAGCAGCACUCGACUCACCAUAGUGAAGACAUCGCGGUAUGAGAGCGGAGGAAGUGUUGCUUUCAGGAAAGAAGAUCUAGUAUGUGAGCAGAGCGGCCUACAAGGAGGAACCCUUGGAGCACCCCAGGAGUUAUGUAUCAGUGCACAGGCAGGCCUGCUGCAGCACACAAAGCCCCUGGCAGGCCUAUACCAAUCAGGGCUGUGCAUCUGCAUCAGGGGAUCUGUGAGCUUCAAUCAGGAGCAUGGCGAAGGCUCUCCCUGGAGAUGACCAGGCCCAGCUCAGGGCUAAUGCAGCUGGUGAAUGAAAUUGAGUGAGAAACAAAACCUUGGGAAGGGGCGGGGGAAGCAAUAAAACAAAGUAUUCUCCGUUCUCCUGCUAACCUAGAAAAGUGCCCAGGCCUCAGAAUCAGGCCAGGAGCUGUAUCUGGAUUGUGACAACACGCUCUCUAGGUACGGAUGUGGCGGGACUUUU